GCGAACGCUGGCGGCAGGCUUAACACCUGCAAGUCGAGCGGGCACUUUCGGGUGUCCGCGGCGGACGGGUGAGUAACGCGUGGGAACGUGCCCUCUGGUUCGGAAUAACUCAGGGAAACUUGAGCUAAUACCGGAUACGCCCUUUUGGGGAAAGGCUUGCUGCCGGAGGAUCGGCCCGCGUCUGAUUAGCUAGUUGGUGAGGUAACGGCUCACCAAGGCGACGAUCAGUAGCUGGUCUGAGAGGAUGAUCAGCCACACUGGGACUGAGACACGGCCCAGACUCCUACGGGAGGCAGCAGUGGGGAAUAUUGGACAAUGGGCGCAAGCCUGAUCCAGCCAUGCCGCGUGAGUGAUGAAGGCCUUAGGGUUGUAAAGCUCUUUUAUCCGGGACGAUAAUGACGGUACCGGAGGAAUAAGCCCCGGCUAACUUCGUG
RNAcentral lists this ribosomal RNA (434 nucleotides) under uncultured bacterium. RNAcentral's name for it is "partial 16S ribosomal RNA". It matches the Rfam family "Bacterial small subunit ribosomal RNA", at positions 29 to 507 of the family's 1533-position model. The record is from RNAcentral.